Molecule: long non-coding RNA, 1519 nt
Filed under: Homo sapiens (human)
Lineage: Eukaryota; Metazoa; Chordata; Mammalia; Primates; Hominidae
Description: HSALNT0118943
Source: RNAcentral
UUUAACCACAGAGAGGCACAUAGGUCACAUUCUCACAACAAUGCCUUCAAAAUGAGAAGGCCCCGCCAUCUGCAAAGGAGCAUGUUCACAGAUUUUCCAAUUGAAAGAAACCAUAUUUGUCUCAUCCUUACCUGGAACCGAUUGGAAUAUCAAGAUUCUACACCUCAAGCCUGAGCCUAAUCCCAGAAUGGGCUGAGACACUGAGACAUCUUGGGAAGGUGGAAGUAUAUUCUCCAGUUGUUAAGAACGUGGAUUAUGGUGAGUAUACUAGAUGAAGAGAGGGCAAUUAGGAACCAUUACAAUGCUCCAGUAAAAAGUAUGUAUUAUUACCUACAUUAGGAAAAUGUCAGUUGACCUACAGAGAAGUGGAGAGAUUCAAGAUAUAUAUACAAGGUAGAAUGGGCAAGUUUUGAAGGCUGAUUGGAUGUCAGGGUUGAGAGAAAGGCAACAUUUUUGAACGAUGCAACUUUAAAGUUUAUAUCUUACACAACUGAGUGGAUAGUGAUCCCAAUUCACUAUAAAACAUGGGCAAAACAGGAGGUUCAUUGCGGAGAAUGAGAGUUCACUUUUAGACACUGAAUUUAAGGUGCUUAUGGAGCAUUCAAACAGAAAUAUCCAGAGUAUGGUUACAUAUACUGGUUUAAAGCUCAGGAGAGAUCUGAGUGAAAGAUACAAAUUUUAGGCUAUCUGUAAUAACUAAAACAAUGAAAAUGGAUGAUAGAGGCUAGUGGUAAUGUGUAGCAUGCUAAAAGAAUAAAGCCUAGAGUUGAAUCCUGAUAAACACCAGAACUUAAGAGUAACGCAGAGAAAUAGAAGGCAACAGAGAAUAAAAAUAAGCAGUCACAAAGUAAGUGCAAAGUUGUAAGACUGCAGUGACAGGAAAGGUAAAAGUGUUCUGUGAAAGCAAAAGUGGUAAGCUCUGCUUGCUCCCUGAGAAGCAGGAGGAGAUAUGAAUUAGGACAAGGCUAGAGGAACAGAACUAACUAGGAGGAGAAAUAAUUGUCCAUGGUAGUAAGAGGUAUGAGAGAGUUAUGGGUAAAUUUAUCUGAUACUUUCAACUUUCCCCCUUCAACAAGUAUUAAAGUAAAUAGAAAUGGAAACCAGGACUGAAAAACUCCUGAGCAAUCAAAUCUAGUCAGGCCUCUUAAGCGACUUUAACCUUGCUCAAUAUGCAAACAUAAGUGAAACUUAACUUGAGCUAUUUAUUGUGAAUGCAUACAUUAAAGAAAAACAGAAAUUAAGCUCAAUCAAUUGGAAGCAGCCAACAGACUUAUAAUUAUAUAACUCAGGACUAUCCAAUAGUAUAUACCAAAUAAGGCAACUGUAUAGCUAUAGCCAAUCAAGUAUCUUCUUUGCUUUACUUCUGUGUUCAUUUCAUAAAAACCUCCCUCUUGCAUUUUCCUGGUGGAUCUCCUGAACCACUUCUUGUCUGGAACUUCCCAAUUCAUGAAUCAUUGUUUGCUCAAAUAAACUCUAUAAAAAAAAUUACUGUGCCUCAGUUUACCUUUUUAACAAGGGG